RNAcentral lists this ribosomal RNA (464 nucleotides) under Vreelandella stevensii. RNAcentral describes it as "partial 16S ribosomal RNA". It matches the Rfam family "Bacterial small subunit ribosomal RNA", at positions 338 to 795 of the family's 1533-position model. Lineage: Bacteria; Pseudomonadati; Pseudomonadota; Gammaproteobacteria; Oceanospirillales; Halomonadaceae. The record is from RNAcentral.
CCUACGGUGGCUGCAGUGGGGAAUAUUGGACAAUGGGGGCAACCCUGAUCCAGCCAUGCCGCGUGUGUGAAGAAGGCCCUCGGGUUGUAAAGCACUUUCAGUGAGGAAGAACGCCUGGUGGUUAAUACCCAUCAGGAAAGACAUCACUCACAGAAGAAGCACCGGCUAACUCCGUGCCAGCAGCCGCGGUAAUACGGAGGGUGCGAGCGUUAAUCGGAAUUACUGGGCGUAAAGCGCGCGUAGGUGGCUUGAUAAGCCGGUUGUGAAAGCCCCGGGCUCAACCUGGGAACGGCAUCCGGAACUGUCAAGCUAGAGUGCAGGAGAGGAAGGUAGAAUUCCCGGUGUAGCGGUGAAAUGCGUAGAGAUCGGGAGGAAUACCAGUGGCGAAGGCGGCCUUCUGGACUGACACUGACACUGAGGUGCGAAAGCGUGGGUAGCAAACAGGAUUAGAUACCCUGGUAGUC